ACGAACGCUGGCGGCAUGCCUAACCCAUGCAAGUCGAACGAGACCUUCGGGUCUAGUGGCGCACGGGUGCGUCACGCGUGGGAACCUGCCCUUAGGUUCGGAAUAACUCCCCGCAAGGGGUGCUAAUACCGGAUAAUGUCUUCGGACCAAAGAUUUAUCGCCUUUGGAUGGGCCCGCGUUGGAUUAGCUAGUUGGUAGGGUAAAAGCCUACCAAGGCGACGAUCCAUAGCUGGUCUGAGAGGAUGAUCAGCCACACUGGGACUGAGACACGGCCCAGACUCCUACGGGAGGCAGCAGUGGGGAAUAUUGGACAAUGGGCGAAAGCCUGAUCCAGCAAUGCCGCGUGAGUGAUGAAGGCCUUAGGGUUGUAAAGCUCUUUUACCCGGGAUGAUAAUGACAGUACCGGGAGAAUAAGCUCCGGCUAACUCCGUG
Molecule: ribosomal RNA, 432 nt
Filed under: uncultured bacterium
Lineage: Bacteria
Description: partial 16S ribosomal RNA
Rfam family: Bacterial small subunit ribosomal RNA
Source: RNAcentral